GACAGAGGCCCCGAGCGUUAGUCGGAAUCACUGGGCGUAAAGCGCACGUAGGCGGACUCUUAAGUCGGUGGUGAAAUCCUGGAGCUCAACUCCAGAACUGCCUUCGAUACUGAGAGUCUCGAGUCCGAGAGAGGUGAGUGGAACUGCGAGUGUAGAGGUGAAAUUCGUAGAUAUUCGCAAGAACACCAGUGGCGAAGGCGGCUCACUGGCUCGGUACUGACGCUGAGGUGCGAAAGCGUGGGGAGCAAACAGG
RNAcentral lists this ribosomal RNA (253 nucleotides) under uncultured bacterium. Its description in RNAcentral is "partial 16S ribosomal RNA". It matches the Rfam family "Bacterial small subunit ribosomal RNA", at positions 524 to 776 of the family's 1533-position model. The record is from RNAcentral.